GCCUCCUUAGCUCAGCCGGUUAGAGCGCCGGACUGUUAAUCCGUAGGUCCUAGGUUCAAGUCCUAGAGGGGGCG
Molecule: transfer RNA, 74 nt
Filed under: Saprospiraceae bacterium
Lineage: Bacteria; Pseudomonadati; Bacteroidota; Saprospiria; Saprospirales; Saprospiraceae
Rfam family: tRNA
About the family: Transfer RNA (tRNA) molecules are approximately 80 nucleotides in length. Their secondary structure includes four short double-helical elements and three loops (D, anti-codon, and T loops).
Source: Rfam by way of RNAcentral